RNAcentral lists this small nuclear RNA (320 nucleotides) under Cyanistes caeruleus (blue tit). RNAcentral describes it as "7SK RNA (ENSCCEG00000000574.1)". The stretch from base 1 to 287 matches the Rfam family "7SK RNA". From Rfam's summary of the family: 7SK was discovered as an abundant small nuclear RNA in the mid-70s but a possible function has only recently been suggested. Two independent studies have found that 7SK RNA binds the CDK9/cyclin T complex (known as elongation factor P-TEFb). Lineage: Eukaryota; Metazoa; Chordata; Aves; Passeriformes; Paridae. The record is from RNAcentral.
CGAUGUGAGGGCCAUCUGCCUGUGACACCCGUCACCACACUGAUCUCCAGGCUUGAGUCAACCCAUGUGCCUGCCCAAGCCCAGGUCCCCUUCCUCACCCAGCGCUCCAUAUGCAUCCCUCCCAAAGCUGCUGGGGCACAGAGGACGACCUCCCCGAUACAGACAGUGCAUUUUAUCACACGAGGCUAUUUGGGCGGCUGCACUCCCUGCCACAACUUCCCAACCAGCCCAAGGAACUAGAUCUGCACUUCUAGGAGGGCUUUCCCGGUAGUCAUAAAUAAAAUUUUGCACAAAAGAAAAUUGAAAUAGGGUGUGAAAAU